RNAcentral lists this ribosomal RNA (433 nucleotides) under uncultured bacterium. RNAcentral describes it as "partial 16S ribosomal RNA". It matches the Rfam family "Bacterial small subunit ribosomal RNA", at positions 29 to 507 of the family's 1533-position model. The record is from RNAcentral.
AACGAACGCUGGCGGCAUGCCUAACACAUGCAAGUCGAACGAGACCUUCGGGUCUAGUGGCGCACGGGUGCGUAACGCGUGGGAACCUGCCCUUAGGUUCGGAAUAACUCCCCGAAAGGGGUGCUAAUACCGGAUAAUGUCUUCGGACCAAAGAUUUAUCGCCUUUGGAUGGGCCCGCGUUGGAUUAGCUAGUUGGUAGGGUAAAAGCCUACCAAGGCGACGAUCCAUAGCUGGUCUGAGAGGAUGAUCAGCCACACUGGCACUGAGACACGGCCCAGACUCCUACGGGAGGCAGCAGUGGGGAAUAUUGGACACUGGGCGAAAGCCUGAUCCAGCAAUGCCGCGUGAGUGAUGAAGGCCUUAGUGUUGUAAAGCUCUUUUACCCGAGAUGAUAAUGACAGUACCGGGAGAAGAAGCACCGGCUAACUCCGUG